Molecule: non-coding RNA, 19 nt
Filed under: Arabidopsis thaliana (thale cress)
Lineage: Eukaryota; Viridiplantae; Streptophyta; Magnoliopsida; Brassicales; Brassicaceae
Source: RNAcentral
GGGCUGACCAUGGACUUGC